RNAcentral lists this ribosomal RNA (440 nucleotides) under uncultured bacterium. Its description in RNAcentral is "partial 16S ribosomal RNA". It matches the Rfam family "Bacterial small subunit ribosomal RNA", at positions 338 to 795 of the family's 1533-position model. The record is from RNAcentral.
CCUACGGGAGGCAGCAGUAGGGAAUCUUGCUCAAUGGAGGAAACUCUGAAGCAGCAACGCCGCGUGGAGGAUGAAGGUUUUCGGAUUGUAAACUCCUUUUGUUAGAGAAGAUAAUGACGGUAUCUACCGCAUUCGUACUGUCUAACUCUGUUCCAGCAGCCGCGGUACUACGGAGGGUACAAGCGUUACUCGGAAUCACUGGGCGUAAAGCGCGCGUGAGUGGGAUAGCAAGUCAGAUGUGAAAUCCUAGGGCUUAACCAUAGAUCUGCAGUGGAAACUGUUAUUCUAGAGUAUGGGAGAGGUAGGUGGAAUUCUUGGUGUAGGGGUAAAAUCCGUAGAUAUCAGGAGGAAUACUCAUUGCGAAGGCGACCUGCUAGAACAUAACUGACGCUGAUGCGCGAAAGCGUGGGGAGCAAACAGGAUUAGAUACCCGAGUAGUC